Molecule: non-coding RNA, 699 nt
Organism: Notechis scutatus (mainland tiger snake)
Lineage: Eukaryota; Metazoa; Chordata; Lepidosauria; Squamata; Elapidae
Source: RefSeq, a predicted model, not a curated record
CUUGGUCCCCAGUCAGCUCCUCUGGAAACACCAGGUUAUUCAUGGGAGAGAUGGAAGCCCGAACAAACGGCAGGGCUCUUUGUGCUCCUGAUCUGAGCGUGGGAAGGAAAUUCCAGGCCACCCAGAUCAUUAUGUUACCUGUCUUAACGAGUUCUGAGCAUCCCACCAAUUGUCAUUUUCAGCACCAGGAUGGAUGUUUUCAUUAUUGAAGCAUUGCGAUGCUCCUGAAACUGCCAAGUCUUACACAGGGCCAGCUCAAAGUUCCUCUGCGCACCUGCAGGGAUUUUUCAGGUGUUUUCAGGCCGAUGACCUCCAUAGCGGCCACUGCUUCCCUUCCCCCAGGUCUCUGUCGAUCAGUCUGUCCCAGGAACCCUGGAAGGCAGCACUGCUAUCAGCACCGCCCAGCCUGUAGACCGUAGCAGUGUUCAAGCCAGCUCUCUCCACGGAGGGGACCAGAUCUCGGCCACCUCUGGUCCUGUGGAAAACAGCUCCCAGCCACCCUCCGCCAGUUCCCUGACAUCUUCAUCUACUUUGUUGGAAAUCCUUGAAGCACUGAAGCAUCCCACCACAGGGAUCCAGCUGCUGUCUGAACAGAAGGGCCUCUCCCCGUCCUGCUUCAUCAGCGCAGAAGUCGUGCACUGGCUGGUGAACAUGGUGGAAGGGGUGCAGACGCAGGCCAUGGCCGUCGACAUCAUGCAG